Non-coding RNA from Rattus norvegicus (Norway rat), 6614 nucleotides. Lineage: Eukaryota; Metazoa; Chordata; Mammalia; Rodentia; Muridae. The record is from RefSeq and is a predicted model, not a curated record.
CUGAUCCAGUGCCGUGGGUGUAUGUGCUGAUUUCAAGGCUCUCUCCUUUAAUGAGGAAGAUCUAAAAAUGAAUCUCACUAUCCCAUAAAAAGCAUGGCAAUCAAAGGCGUUACUACCCGGUACUCGGUGUCUGUGGGUGGAGACAGUCGGGGUGGGGGGUGUGGAUGAUUCGGGAAUGACCUGAAGGACAUGUAGGGGACAAGAUUUCUUUCACAGAAUCGCUUCACGCUCUAGAAGAAGGGACGUGUGGGUUCACCUUCUAACAGAGCUCUUCAUUCCCACCGCUUCUCAGGACCUUUCCUGUUGAGUUAUGUUGUGCAUGAUCCCGGAGUCCGGCUCUCAGGCAGAUUCUUCUGGAACUAUUACAGAGUUGGGAACUAUGAGAAGCCAGUGUGGCGGAGACUCCAGAAAUUCAUCCUCACAUGUGCGGCUCCCCCCUUCCCCCAAUCCAGUAAAAGGUCGAGUUUACGGAUUUGGAUCGAUCUGCGAGAAGCAGGCAUUGGCACCCACAGGCUGUCUCACCACACUGACAGGAAGCCCUGCUGCCUCCUGGCUGUGUGAUCUUGACCCAGCUACCUGCCAUGUCUGAACUUGAGAUUUUCAAAAUCCGAGGUCUGUUCCACAGAUCUUUAAGGAAAUACCGACAUGAUGCAUGUAGUGUGCUUAGCACAUGAUAGGUUCUCAAACUCAUGAAAGCUAUUUUCCCAUUUGGAACAAUUCUCAAAACGUCCCUGGUCUGGGGCAGACACUGGCAUACAUGAAGGCUUUGAACAGAUUAGAAAAAAAACAAAACAAAACAAAACAAAAAAACAAAAAAAAAAAAACAAAAAAAAAAGGAAAAAAGAAAAGAAAAAAAAAAAGCCCAAAAAAGCUGCCUCCAUUGGCAGGGAAAGUGACGGAGGGUUUUUCCUUCAUCCUAAUGUGACCCUGUACACGUCCUCAGGAGUGCACCGUCUUCUCAUGGGCAUGCAUCAGGCCUGGAUCUGAUCUCUUUAGAGGGCUCCGAGAGGACUACCUCAGAGUACAAUGCUUUGAAAUGCUCUGUACCUUGAACUGAAACAGUUUCAGAGUCUCUCCCCGACCCUAUGUUCCAGGAGAGGUGAAAAGGGUUGCCUUUCAUCUGUUCUCUUCAGCAAUACAGUGCUUGUGCACCCCCUGACCCCAACUGUCCCCCCCAAAAGGAAGAUCAGUUUGCAAUGGAAACUGGAAGAGACCAUACCCAAAGCCCAACCAAACUGUCCCCAGGCGUGUGUCUUCUUUCGGUUCACUGAUGUCCUUUAAAACUCACUUAGCAGUGGCUGAGAUGGCGGUUCAGUUGGUAAGGCACUUGCUAUGUAAGAUUAAGACCCGAAUUCAGAUCCUAGCAUCCAUGUAAAGGCUGGAGCAGCAGUGGACCUGUAACCGCAGUGUUAGGGAGGCAGAGACAGGUGAACCCCCGGGACUUUCUGGCUAGCCAGGCUCACUAAAUCGUCGUGUUUUAGGUUCAGACUAUGUCACAAAACACCAAGUGUAGAGCCCGAUGUCCCCAUCUCAGGUCUCUGUAUGCAUAUACACAGGAAUUCAUACACACCUACACACACACACACACACACACACACACACACACACACACACACACAGGCACACACACACAGACACACAGACACACACAGAGGCACACACACACAGGCACACACACAGACACACACAGACACACACAGACACACACAGACACACACAGACCCAGACACACACAGACACACACGCACACACACGCACACACACGCACACACACAGACACACACAGACCCAGACACACACAGAUACACAGACACACACAGACACACACGCACACACACGCACACACACGCACACACACAGACACACACAGACCCAGACACACACAGAUACACAGACACACACAGACACACACAGACACACACGCACAUACACGCACACACACAGACACACACAGACCCAGACACACACAGAUACACAGAUACACAGAUACACAGACACACAGACACAGACACAGACACACCUACACACACACACACACACACACACAGGCACACACACACAGGCACACACACAGACACACAUAGACACACACAGACCCAGACACACACAGAUACACAGACACACAGACACACAGACACACACACACACACACACACACACACAGACACACACACAGACACACACACACACACAGAGUAAGAGACAGAAGGUUUGAAAUUCCAGUAGCUGUGGUUGUGGGAGCCAGGUCUGCUCAGUACUGUAGCUCCUUCCUCUGUCACAGGCCUGCCACCUGCCAACACCUAUGGUUUACAGGCUUCAGGUGGCAAUUCCAGCCUGCUUUUCUUGUCCCUUUGUUGUUUGUCUGUCUUGUGAUGUCCUUGUUGAGGUGUGGGCUUAUCGAGAGUGAUGGAGAACUUGCAAGACUUUGCUGUUGACUCUGAAGCCCAGGCCUGCUUAGUGUUGGCUCACCAUGACUGUUUCUGUAGUGGAAUGCAGUCAAGAAGAGCAUUAGAGUAAUUUCCUUAAGACUUAUUUCCAGAACAAUCUCAUGAACCAUGGUGAUGACGACCCUGGGAUAUAGAGCCCCUGGGAUGUGUUUUAUCUUUUGGGGGGGUUGUCCUAGAGGGGGGAAGUGGAAAAAAAACACCAGGUGUCAUGGGCUCUUGUAUGCGCCUAGCUAUCUUUGAAUUGUGGGCAUUUUAUAUACAAACUCUGGGUGUGACAAAAGUUGUCUCUGGGGUUUGUCUUUGUGUCUGGCAGGUAUUAACUGGUGACAUGUCAUGUCACCUUACUCUUGUUGGAGAGUGAGAUGAUUCAGAGCUAUUUUUAGGAGUUGUGGGAAGCUGUGUAGUUCUUACUCAUUUUUUCUUUUUCUUAGAGACAGGCCUUCUUUUUUUUUUCACCCUCCAAACAAUGGCUUUCCUCCAAAAAUGUCCACCGUGUUUUGAGGUCCAGAAUUUUUUUUUUUUUUUGAGCUGAGGGCUUGCUAGGCAAGCACUCUACCACUCUACUAAAUCCCAACCCCUGAUAUCCAGAAUGUGAAUGUCUUAGGUUACAUGGCAAAGAGGAGCUGAAGUUGCAGAGGGAAUUAAAAUUACCAAUCAGCCAAUCCUAGACUGGAACGUUACAGUGGGUGUUCUGGAUUGUUCCAGUCUUGUAAGUGGCAGAAGGAGGCAUCCGAGGAGUCAAGAUGCUGUGCUAUGAGAGGCCUUCAACCUGCUACUACUGGAUUUGAAGAUAGACAAGUUCACCACACAGGGAACACCAGAACCUGCUUCUGGAAAGGGCACUGAAGGAGCCCUCAGGAGAGAGGAAACCCGGCAGGCAUUCUGGUUUAACUCAGUGAGACUCAGGUCAGCCUUCUAGCCUAUAGGGCAGUAUGAUAGUAAAGAAGUGUGGUUUUAGCCAUUAGAUUAGUGGUGACUUGUUGCAGUAGGAGACUGAUGCAAGGGAUUCUGGGUGUAAAAUUAUUUUCUUUUUGUUGAAAAUACAGUUUUAUGCCAUAUAUUCUGAUUACUGUUUCUCCUCCCCCUACUUUUCUCAGUUCCUCUCCAAACCACCUCCCAUCUGGAUCCACACCCUUUCUGUUUCUCAUGAGAAAGCAAACAGCUAUCUAAGGUAUAAUAAUGCAAUAAAAUACAAUAAAAAAAUAAAAACAAAACAAAUUAGAUUAUGACAAAACAACCAAUCAAGAAAUCGAGCCAAAGAAAAAGCAUGUGGAACACUGAGACACACAUGCAUGCACACACUGGAAUCCCAUAAAAACCCCAAACCAGAAGUCAUGAUACUCAAAGGCUCUGUAAGGUAGAAAAAAAGUACUUAGCAUGAAGAGCCAAAGAACUUCCCAAGACGCUGUCUAGUUAAUUUUGUGUUGACUAACUAUUGCUGGGCAUGGGGUUUAUCCUUAAGAAGUGUUUGUUGCCCCAGUGGGGCUCUCUUGGAGAAAGCUAAGUUUUCAUUUACAGGUGGCUAUGAAUUGGAGCUAGUCUCUGGGUUAAGGAUGGGGCAUAGAUCUGCCUCUCCUUUUACCUCUAGGACAUCAUCUAGUGCUGACCUGUGAAGGACCUGUGCACGCUACCUCAGGCUCUGUGAGUUCACACGCACACCAGCCCUGGAGUGUCUAGAAGGUCUUGAUUCUUUGAUGUCUCUCAUCCCCCCUGGCUCUUAAGCUCUUUCUGCUUCAUCUUCUGCAGAGUUCCCUGAGCCCUGAGGUGAGAGAUUUGAUAACGACAUCCCUUUUAGGGCUGAGUGUUUCGAGGCCUGUGCAUUGUCUUUGGCUGUGGAUCUCUGUUUCGUUCCCAUUUGCUGAAGGAAGAAACCUCUCCUUCCAUAGAUCCAUGAGCAAGGCAUAGAUCUAUGAGAAUAGAAGAAUGUUGUUAGGGGUCAUCGUAUUGCUUCAUCCCUUUAGCAGGGCUUCCCUUAGGUCUCUGGCUUAUCAAAUCCCAGGUUCUUGGCCACCCAAACAGCGUUGAGUAUGGGUUCCAUUUUGUGGAGUGGGUUUUAAACUUAAUUGGAUAUUGACUGGUCACUCCUGCAAGCUUUGCACUACUGUUAUAUUAGCAUAUCUUGCAGGCGGGUCACUCUUAUAAAUUGAAAGCUUUGUAGUUAGGUAAUGUUUACCUUUCUCCUUUGGUAGCAGGUAGAGUAUCUUCUAGUACCAUGAACUGUAGUCCUCAGGGGUGAAGCCUCUAGGUAGGCACUAACCAUGUUCAAUGAGUUGUAUAGGUGUCAUCAGUAAUGGGGCCCUGCCAUUAGUUUGUGGAGAGCUGCUAGUGGUUUUGGCAGUAGCCUGUGUCGUUUAGGGGUUCCCUGGGAUCCCUUUGGCCAUGAACUUGGUUGGAUGUAACCCAUUUCCAGUACUGGACGCUUCCUUUGGUGAUGAGAGAUUCCAGUUGAGGCUCCGUCUUCCCUGUUACCAGGUAAUUUUAUUUUGAUCCCAGCUGAAUAUCUUCAUUGUUUCCUAGAACAUCUUCCUGGUGAACCCCAAACACCUCUGUCUUUACGGCAACCUGAGGCUUCUGAAUCCUUGCCUUGUUGUGAUGGUUCGUAUAUGUUUGUCCCAGGGAAUGGCCCUAUUAGGAGGUGUGGCCUUGGGAUAGGUGUAUUGCUGUGAGUGUGGGCUUUAAGACCCACUUCCUAGCUGCCUGGAAGUCUGUCUUCUCUUUGAGGCUGGCAGACGAAGAUGUGGACCUCUCUAGCAGCUCCUGCACCAUGCGUACCUGGAUGCUGCCAUGUUCCCACCUUACGAUACUGAACUGAAGCUCUGAACCUGUAGGCCAGCCCCAAACAAAUGUCCUUAUAAGAGUUGCCUUGGUCAUGGCGUCUGUUCACAGCAGGAAAACUCUAUUGAAGACACUUGUAUUCAGUGUCUUGAGCCUGGCCUUCUUACUAUUCCUCAAUGAAUCAACAACUUUCCAGAGACGAGAAUUCGGCAUUCUCAUUUCACGUCUUUUGUCUUCGGGAUCUUUCUCUCCCUCCUCGGGCUGCUUCUUUAGCUGUGAGUUCUAAUAUAUGUCUCUCUGCUGUCAGCAGCCAUCAUGUCUCAGCCUCCGGCCUCAGCCUGCCUUCAAAUUAGCAGACAUAUAUUUAAGAACCAAAAGGAUAAGUAAAGGGUAGCCAGGAUAUUGCUGUUGUCAUUAGCAGACUUUGUUAUACUCUGCUAUAAUAGGACACUGGGUGGGUGCCUCUCCCUGACCAUUUGUCUCUCUCUGUAUAAGGAGGGCUUCAGAGGGGCGAGCCUCUAGACUUUCCAGCUCUGGCCAUCUUCAGAUGCUGCCUCUGUGCUCAGGAGUGCUGACUCCUUUUGUUGUCCAGGGUCUGUGAGUCCUUGACUGCCAGGUUUGAAUGAAAGCCCAUCAGUAGAGAGGACCACGGAGCAUAGUACAAAGCAAAUGGACAAUCAGAGCAAGCAGAAGACAAAGAUUCCAACAGAGACUUAGCACAAUGACACAGCAGAAUGCUAUGCCUCCUUGACUCUAGAGGGGGGAAAACCCAACGUUGAGCCUCCAUGCUUUCUGCUUAGCACGGUUAGGCUAACGGAUCUGUGAUUAAUCAGGAAAGCUGACUCAAUUUACAGAACUUUGAACAGAGAGCAUCAUGAUGGCUUUAAGAUCCCCAAGGAGCUGCAGGCUAUCUGACUGGAUGCUUGCCCAAGCUGUGAUUUUGACCUGACGAUGAAGUGUUUGAGUUUAUGUUCUGACGUCUGUCCGCCCUCGGGAUCACAUUCAAAGGGAGUCUCCAAAGCGCUGGCAACGACCAUUUUGCUUCUGUAUGCAGCAUUUUCUUCCUGAACUUCACUUUCCUUUAAAAAAAAAUUAUGAAAUACUGUCUCACUGUCAUCGUUCUCAGCCUGUUGUGUCCCUCUCCCACGUUCCCCUCCCCGAAAAGCUCAAUUCCGCUGCCUCAACUAUCCCUGGCCUCGCUUGUCCUAUCUUCAGGUUCCAGUCAGCCUCAUUUCCUUCAGGGAAGCUUCUUCCUUUUUUUUUUUCUCCCCACCCCCCGGAGCUGGGGACUGGACCCAGAGCCUUGUGCUUCCUAGGCAAGCGCUCUACCACUGAGCCAAAUCCCCAACCGGGAAGCUUCUUUCCCACACAUAAAGGCCGCUUUUGCGGAAA